RNAcentral lists this transfer RNA (85 nucleotides) under Cyrtodactylus annulatus. RNAcentral describes it as "tRNA-Cys". The record is from RNAcentral. Lineage: Eukaryota; Metazoa; Chordata; Lepidosauria; Squamata; Gekkonidae.
GCCCAUGCGGUAACACCAAAAUGCAAAUUUGGAGACGCACCCUAAAGGUGCCGGGGCUUCUCCCGUUUACGCAAACGGGAGAAGC